RNAcentral lists this long non-coding RNA (634 nucleotides) under Coffea arabica (coffee). Its description in RNAcentral is "long non-coding RNA (CARA_LNC005946)". The record is from RNAcentral. Lineage: Eukaryota; Viridiplantae; Streptophyta; Magnoliopsida; Gentianales; Rubiaceae.
GAAAUUCAAAACAAAAGGAAAUGGGCCAUUUUUCUUAUUUGCUUGGGCCACAACCUUCCAAGCCCAACCAAAGCCCAAAGCAAAACAAGCAAGCCAGCCCAUCUUAAGUCUAAUCAAAAUUCCACUAAAAACAUAUGGGCUUUAUCUCUCAAGCCCAUGUCAACAACCCAGAAAAAUCAAUCAUUAAUCCAUUUGUUAAACCCGAACAAUAGGUCCAGACCCAAACCGAAUUAUAUCUUAUGAGAAGCCCAACAAGAUAAAACCCAACUAAAAAAAUUGCAUUGAACCCCAAAAUUAAUCUAUCCAAAGUCACAUAAAGUCGUAUUAAAGAAGAAAACGUUUGGAGGGACAAAAUUGGUUAAAUUAUUUGAUUCUCUGAUUCAAGACAGAACAAAAGGCAGCUUGAGGGGUUCAAAUGCAACCAAAGCAGGGACUUAAUUGGAGGAAUCAUGAAGACUUUGGGGUCGAAAUUAAAGAAAAGCAACGUCCAGGGGUCAAUUUACAAAUUUCCAGAUUUUUUGCAAACAAAUGGUUCACUGAAUCCUUCUUCUUCAACGAAUUUCACCAGAAUUUCAUCUCCUUUUAUUCCAAAAGAAACAAAACUCACACAAACUCAAAUCACGCAACAAAGUCC